This 563-nucleotide ribosomal RNA is filed under the name uncultured bacterium. Its description in RNAcentral is "bacterial SSU rRNA". It matches the Rfam family "Bacterial small subunit ribosomal RNA", at positions 338 to 916 of the family's 1533-position model. The record is from RNAcentral.
CCUACGGGAGGCAGCAGUUGGGGAUUUUGCACAAUGGACGAAAGUCUGAUGCAGCGACACCGCGUGAAGGAAGAAGGCUCUCGGGUUGUAAACUUCUUUUGUAUGGGAAUAAACUUGAAGGUACCAUACGAAUAAGGACCGGCUAACUACGUGCCAGCAGCCGCGGUAAUACGUAGGGUUCAAACAUUAUCCGGAUUUAUUGGGCGUAAAGAGUGCGUAGGUGGUUUCUUAAGAUUCAGUUCAAAGCUCCCGGCUCAACCGGGAAAAGGGCUGAAUAACUGAGAAGCUAGAGGCGUUCAGGGGCAGAUGGAACUUAUGGUGUAGCAGUGAAAUGCGUUGAUAUCAUAAGGAACACCGAUGGCGAAGGCAGUCUGCUAGGAACGAUCUGACACUGAGGCACGAAAGCGUGGGGAGCGAACGGGAUUAGAUACCCCGGUAGUCCACGCUGUAAACGAUGCACAUUAGGUAUGUGAGGUAUCGACCCCUUGCGUAUCGUAGCUAACGCGUUAAAUGUGCCGCCUGGGUAGUACGGCCGCAAGGCUAAAACUCAAAGGAAUUGACGG